Molecule: ribosomal RNA, 235 nt
Filed under: uncultured bacterium
Lineage: Bacteria
Description: partial 16S ribosomal RNA
Rfam family: Bacterial small subunit ribosomal RNA
Source: RNAcentral
UGAGUAACCUGCCCUUAACUCUGGGAUAAGCCUGGGAAACUGGGUCUAAUACCGGAUAUGACUCCUCAUCGCAUGGUGGGGGGUGGAAAGCUUUUUGUGGUUUUGGAUGGACUCGCGGCCUAUCAGCUUGUUGGUGAGGUAAUGGCUCACCAAGGCGACGACGGGUAGCCGGCCUGAGAGGGUGACCGGCCACACUGGGACUGAGACACGGCCCAGACUCCGUACGGGGAGGCAG